This 1398-nucleotide long non-coding RNA is filed under the name Canis lupus familiaris (dog). RNAcentral's name for it is "lncRNA (ENSCAFG00030012304.1)". The record is from RNAcentral. Lineage: Eukaryota; Metazoa; Chordata; Mammalia; Carnivora; Canidae.
GAGGGUAGGUUUUUUUCCUUUGGUUUGAUUUUGCUGGGCCGAGGAGGAGAGCACCAAGCACGGCUGCGUCGGUGCCUGGAGCCGGCCCGCACAGUGCCCAGGGGCUGUUUGCACAGCGGUGUCUCUAGCCGAACGCAAGCUGCCUUGGGACUUGGACGGGGCCUUCGUGGUCACCGCAUCCCAGGCUCCGCUUUAAGGGCGAGGCCGACAGGGAGCGGUGCUUCCCUCCUGGUGGGGCUGGGCCGAAGUAUCAGGUCCGCUGACUCUCCAGACCGUGUCGGAAGGGCCGCUCGUUCUUUAAAGAAUAGUCGCUGCUGCGUUAAUAGCAUCAGCACCUGUUGGUUCAGCUUCCGCAAGGGAGAAGCUAUUAAUUCCUCCUUCAUCACAGCCGCAUCUCGGGUGGCGUGGACCCCGUUUUCCUCCUCGCUGCAGCUGUCUGCUCCCGUAAGGCACGCGUCGAACGGACGCGCCUCCCGGCCUCACCCCAGCAGUAAGCGGCCGCGGCCGAAGGAGGGAGGGGAGAAUCCGACCAGACCCGCCAGGGGGGGCCACGUUGGCGGCGUUGACCCUGGAGGCCCCUCGUUGCCCUGGCGCAGGCCCGGGGCGCGCCCUGCACACCUCCCCGUGGGCGGCCUGGGGCGCGCCGAGCCCGCACGAGCCGCGGGAGGCGGCGGAGACGCUGGGCCUGAAACGGAAGCGAUUCUAAUCCUUCCUUUAGGGGAAGUUUUGAGGAUCGGACCGAAAGCCGGGGCCCUUCCCCAGCCCGGUGCGGCCGGCGCCCCUGCCCCGGCGGCUCCUCCGCGCCCUCCCGCGGCCCCGCGGGCGUCGGAAGGCCCGGGGCUCGCGGCGUCUCGGCGCGGCCGGCGGCGGAGGAAGGAGGGCGGCCCGCGCAGGCGCAUGCGCAGCCCCCGCCGCCGGCCCCUCUUAAGAGCGCCGCGCAGCGCCCGGGCGAGCGCAGUGGGAGCUGGCGCGGAGCCGGGAGCCGGGCGCCGGGGCUGUGCGGGCGGCCGCCGCGCUCCGCUUCCCGCUUCCCGCUUCCCGCUUCCCGCUUCCCGCUUCCCGCUUCCCCGCGGCCGCGAGGGCCGAGACCUCGUGGGAGGCUCCGGCCCGUGCGCCCCUCCCGAGGGAAGCGGCGGCCCGGGCGGGCGGGCCGGACGGAGGCUGCCGGGCUCCCACGGGAGCGAGCUGCCGCCGGAGAGGCGGGGCCGAGGGCCGGGGGCCGGGGGCCGGGGGCGAGCCGCCCGCCUGGACCCGCGCCCAGCAGCAGCCGCCCGGCCGGCUCCCGGGGCUGCGCCGAGGGCACUGGCCCGCCGCCCCGCGGACGCCCCGCGGACGGGAGCGCUGCCCCGGCGGCGCGGCCGGAGCCAUGCGGACCGAGCUCGGGGCUGGGCGGGCUGA